RNAcentral lists this Y RNA (113 nucleotides) under Saimiri boliviensis boliviensis (Bolivian squirrel monkey). Its description in RNAcentral is "Y RNA (ENSSBOG00000003070.1)". It matches the Rfam family "Y RNA". Rfam says of the family: Y RNAs are components of the Ro ribonucleoprotein particle (Ro RNP), in association with Ro60 and La proteins. The Y RNAs and Ro60 and La proteins are well conserved, but the function of the Ro RNP is not known. In humans the RNA component can be one of four small RNAs -- hY1, hY3, hY4 and hY5. The record is from Rfam by way of RNAcentral. Lineage: Eukaryota; Metazoa; Chordata; Mammalia; Primates; Cebidae.
GGCUGGUCCCAAGGCGGCGAGUUCUCUCGAUUGACUGUUCACAGCCAGUCACAGAUCGAGCUCCUGGUUCUACUGUUUUCCCCUUUCUCACUACUGCACUUGACUAGCCUUUA